UAAGGAAUAUUGCGCAAUGGGGGAAACCCUGACGCAGCAACGCCGCGUGGAGGAUGACACUUUUCGGAGCGUAAACUCCUUUUAUCAGGAAAGAAUAAUGACGGUACCUGAUGAAUAAGCACCGGCUAACUCCGUGCCAGCAGCCGCGGUAAUACGGGGGGUGCAAGCGUUACUCGGAAUCACUGGGCGUAAAGGACGCGUAGGCGGAUUAGCAAGUCUUUUGUGAAAUCUAGUUGCUUAACCACUAAACUGCUUAGGAAACUGAUAGUCUAGAGUAGGGGAGAGAUAGAUGGAAUUCUUGGUGUAGGGGUAAGAUCCGUAGAGAUCAAGAAGAAUACCCAUUGCGAAAGCGAUCUGCUGGAACCUAACUGACGCUGAGGCGUGAAAGCGUGGGUAGCAAACAGG
RNAcentral lists this ribosomal RNA (405 nucleotides) under bacterium. RNAcentral's name for it is "partial 16S ribosomal RNA". It matches the Rfam family "Bacterial small subunit ribosomal RNA", at positions 355 to 776 of the family's 1533-position model. The record is from RNAcentral.